RNAcentral lists this transfer RNA (81 nucleotides) under Apaloderma vittatum (bar-tailed trogon). It matches the Rfam family "tRNA". Rfam says of the family: Transfer RNA (tRNA) molecules are approximately 80 nucleotides in length. Their secondary structure includes four short double-helical elements and three loops (D, anti-codon, and T loops). Further hydrogen bonds mediate the characteristic L-shaped molecular structure. tRNAs have two regions of fundamental functional importance: the anti-codon, which is responsible for specific mRNA codon recognition, and the 3' end, to which the tRNAs corresponding amino acid is attached (by aminoacyl-tRNA synthetases). tRNAs cope with the degeneracy of the genetic code in two manners: having more than one tRNA (with a specific anti-codon) for a particular amino acid; and 'wobble' base-pairing, i.e. permitting non-standard base-pairing at the 3rd anti-codon position. The record is from Rfam by way of RNAcentral. Lineage: Eukaryota; Metazoa; Chordata; Aves; Trogoniformes; Trogonidae.
GGCCGGUUAGCUCAGUCGGUUGAGCGCGGUGCUGACAACAAUGACACCACCGAGGUCGCGAGUUCGAUUCCUGCUCGGUCC